AAAGACCCUGAGAUCAGGAAAGGUGAAGGGUCUAGGGAGGUAGAGAGUGGGAAAAUCAGCCCUUGAGCUCAGGCCUUUGGGAGUAUUUUUUGUCUCCCGCCAGUUCACCCGCUCUGGAGAACCAACGAUCUGGACAACUCUCUGGGUAACGGCAUGCCAGGAGGAGGACACCUUGAUGCAACUGACCCAACUCGAGGCUCUUGAUGAAAAGUCAUCUUACGACUGGAUGUCCCCCCUUCGUGAUAGAAGCCACUCUUGUCUCCUGUGGAAGAAAAUGAGAUGUGCAGUCGAAGGACUUCCAUUCUCAGACUGGCCUGUUGAACCUUCUCAGGUGACAGAGAGGGAAACUGAGCCACAGAAAGGCAAAGCGGCUUGCCUGGAGCGACUUGAUUAAGGUGGAAGGAUCUGGGUGUCUGAAUAGUGGCCAGACUCACGACCAAACCUUUGGGUGACAAAAAGAUUGUCCAGAAAAUCGGGCCAGUCCACAUGUAAAAUUGGCCUGUUUUUUUAAAGCAGUGUAUUAUUAUGGGAUUGUUAAGGUGAAGAAGGGUAAUGAGGCCCAAAGUCCAUCAAUAUGGGGCUCUCUCCUCACUAGUACGAGUCAGUGCCCCUGCCCCGUGCAAGCCGGGCAGCAGCAUUGGUGUGCUGGAGAAAGAGGCUGCUUUCUUCAGAUCUCUUCAGCCUCUUGACUAUUUUUGAGUCUCUUCAGCCUCUUUGAGUGUUUCUGGCUUCCAGCUUCAAGAGAAAAGAUGGAUGAUGCCAACCCCACUUCGGAUUGCUAACAAGAAAACAGGACUCUGCAAAAAGCUUCCAGGAGAGGAAUUAGUGGUCUCUAGUAUGUCCUUUGCCCCAGCUUACCACCCUAGAAACUUUGAGGAAUUUCCCUUUGAGUAAGAUGGAGGGCUGACAUUCUUUUCUCUGUCUCGAUCUCUUUCUCCUUGUUCCUUUCCCUCUGUAUUGUGUGAUAUGUAUUUUCCUGCGUAUACUUCUCUUUGAUUUCCAUUAAAAAGUUUUUUCACCUUAAUUUCCCCCUUUAUUAAUUUUUAGAGUUGAUUUUUAUUUUAAUAACAAAUUUCCACAUGAGUUCUCUGAAGUUAUAUGAACCGUAUUGUCUCCCUCUCUUCUUCCCUCCCCACUUCCAGAGCUGAUUUACAUUUUAUUGUGGACUUGAAUAAAUAGAGUUCUU
Molecule: long non-coding RNA, 1186 nt
Filed under: Monodelphis domestica (gray short-tailed opossum)
Lineage: Eukaryota; Metazoa; Chordata; Mammalia; Didelphimorphia; Didelphidae
Description: lncRNA (ENSMODG00000037845.1)
Source: RNAcentral